AUCAUUAUUUCAAUCACUAUAUAUAAUCCAAAUAUAUUGCAAUAGAUGAUGAUUGAGUGGAAAUACAAAUGUUUAUCUUUUUUCCUAAUUUCGAAAAUCAUUAUUACAAUCAUUGGAAUAAUCUGGAUAUGUUGCAAUAAAUGAUGAUUAUGUUAAGACACUCGAACUUUCUCUCUUCCUGUGAACCGCGAAAAACUUCGCAAUCUGGACCCGAAAGACCACCCCGGAAAUUAAUUAACGAAGCAAGUUUUUCCACGAGAAAGAAAAUGGAAAGAAACGGUCGAAGGAAGAGGCGGUACGGGAGGUGAAGUUUUUCCACCGUUUGACAACGAGCGGAAUACGUAAACGGGUGGGGGGAGGAGGCAAAAUGCUUGGAAGUUGAAGA
Long non-coding RNA from Apis florea (little honeybee), 385 nucleotides. The record is from RefSeq and is a predicted model, not a curated record. Lineage: Eukaryota; Metazoa; Arthropoda; Insecta; Hymenoptera; Apidae.